Molecule: ribosomal RNA, 468 nt
Filed under: uncultured bacterium
Lineage: Bacteria
Description: partial 16S ribosomal RNA
Rfam family: Bacterial small subunit ribosomal RNA
Source: RNAcentral
GACGAACGCUGGCGGCGUGCUUAACACAUGCAAGUCGAACGGAAAGGCCCUGCUUUUGUGGGGUGCUCGAGUGGCGAACGGGUGAGUAACACGUGAGUAACCUGCCCUUGACUUUGGGAUAACUUCAGGAAACUGGGGCUAAUACCGGAUAGGAGCUCCUGCUGCAUGGUGGGGGUUGGAAAGUUCCGGCGGUUGGGGAUUGACUCGCGGCUUAUCAGCUUGUUGGUGGGGUAGUGGCUUACCAGGGCUUUGACGGGUAGCCGGCCUGAGAGGGUGACCGGCCACAUUGGGACUGAGAGACGGACCAGAAUCCUACGGGAGGCAGCAGUGGGGAAUAUUGCAGAAUGGGCGGAAGCCUGAUGCAGCAACGCCGCGUGCGGGAUGACGGCCUUCGGGUUGUAAACCGCUUUCGCCUGUGACGAAGCGUGAGUGACGGUAAUGGGUAAAGAAGCACCGGCUAACUACGUG